Long non-coding RNA from Phyllopteryx taeniolatus (common seadragon), 1250 nucleotides. RefSeq lists it as uncharacterized. NCBI's taxonomy places the organism in Eukaryota, Metazoa, Chordata, Actinopteri, Syngnathiformes, Syngnathidae. The transcript is spliced from 3 exons. The record is from RefSeq and is a predicted model, not a curated record.
CCGCCCACUACAUUAGGUACACCACACACACGCACACAACCUUCACUUGCUAUUGACAAGAUACAUGAACCCAAAUUUGCGACGUACCUGCGUGAUGACGUCAGCGUCCACGUAAGUUGAGUCUUCCCGUUGAUUAGCGUGACAGGGAAUGCGUGUGACGUCGCCAUUUUAGCGAACUAAAGCUAAAAGUGAAGUUACACCACUUUCUGACACAAAAUGUUGUUGUUUUUUAACCAGUAACAUAAAACUUACAGCACGUUAGCAGAAUGUGAGGUGAACCAUUCAAAGAAAAAUAAAGGCAAAAAAUCCCACAAGAUGGUAGGGCUUGGCAAAGGAACUGAUGAGAAAAAGUCUGUCUGGCGCACGGACCGAACGAUGUGGACUUCAACGUCCAAACGGAUGGCUCGCAUCACUUCGCCGCGAAGACGCUGAGCCAAAACGAGCAAGUGAGGAGGAGGAGAAGAAGAGGAGGAGGUGGAGCCUACUGAUGCUGCAAUUAAGAAAUUCGUUGUCUGCCGGCCAGCUAACGAGAAUGAAUAUUUCAGUCCGGAGCUCACGGUGGGGGGCAGGCACACCUACACACACGUACACACACUGACGGAUCUUAGUAAAGGCUUGCAGAAUCAUUCAAGAUGCCACAAUUUGAAAAAUACAAAAAAAGAAAAACAAUAAAAUUACAUCAGCUACCCUGUGCAAACAACGAUGCACUCUAGAAUAUUGUACUUUAUAGAAACAUGGUCACAACAAUUAAAUAGAAUGUAAUGAAAUAAAGAAUUAGAAUUAUUAUUUUUCAUUUUAUUAUUUUUUUCAUAAUCGCCCAGCCCUAGUAUGUCACCCAGACGUAGAAGAAGAAUAUACUUCUUCUUCUAUUACGACUCAGUAAAAUGCUGUCAUUAGUCAUUUUUCGUAGAGAAUAAACAUAUGCCUGUGAGUAGUUAUAUUAUCUGUCUACAUGUGUUGCUCCACUGUUUGUAUUCAAAUCACCAUAGUUUCUAAAACUGUGACUAUCGAUGCUAAUCGUUAGCAUGUCAAUGGUGUUUUGCACUGUUUGUUAGCUUUAGGCUAGGCAGACUUUCCUAACGCUGAGCCAUGUGGUUGUUUUAAUACACAUGUAAUGCUCUUUGUUUUAUGUUUAUUUUGACGGUAAAAUUCCGCUAUCGAGAAUAUAUCCUGUGAGUAUUGUUAUAUUAUCUGGCUACAUAUUUUUGAGUGACAUUGUCUGUACAGUUAAUAAAGGUUUUAUGACGUUA